UAGAAAGUGGUGUAGUGGAAGCACUAGGAGUUUUGAUCUCCUGGGGAAGGGUUCAAGUCCCUUUUUUCUAA
This 71-nucleotide transfer RNA is filed under the name Antimora microlepis (finescale mora). Its description in RNAcentral is "tRNA-Gln". It matches the Rfam family "tRNA". From Rfam's summary of the family: Transfer RNA (tRNA) molecules are approximately 80 nucleotides in length. Their secondary structure includes four short double-helical elements and three loops (D, anti-codon, and T loops). Further hydrogen bonds mediate the characteristic L-shaped molecular structure. tRNAs have two regions of fundamental functional importance: the anti-codon, which is responsible for specific mRNA codon recognition, and the 3' end, to which the tRNAs corresponding amino acid is attached (by aminoacyl-tRNA synthetases). tRNAs cope with the degeneracy of the genetic code in two manners: having more than one tRNA (with a specific anti-codon) for a particular amino acid; and 'wobble' base-pairing, i.e. permitting non-standard base-pairing at the 3rd anti-codon position. The record is from RNAcentral. Lineage: Eukaryota; Metazoa; Chordata; Actinopteri; Gadiformes; Moridae.